RNAcentral lists this ribosomal RNA (498 nucleotides) under uncultured bacterium. Its description in RNAcentral is "partial 16S ribosomal RNA". It matches the Rfam family "Bacterial small subunit ribosomal RNA", at positions 29 to 507 of the family's 1533-position model. The record is from RNAcentral.
AGCGUACGCUGGCGGCGUGCCUAACACAUGCAAGUCGAACGUGAAAAGGGAAACCUGAGUAAAGUGGCGUACGGGUGAGUAACGCGUAGGUAAUCUACCCCAGAAUCUGGAAUAACCUGCCGAAAGGCGGGCUAAUACUGGAUAGAGCGAGGGAACUCGUAAGAGAGUUUUUCGGGAAAGGGAGCCCGUAAGGGCCUUCGUUCUGGGAUGAGCCUGCGUCUCAUUAGCUAGUUGGUAAGGUAACGGCUUACCAAGGCGAUGAUGAGUAGCUGGUCUGAGAGGAUGAUCAGACACACUGGAACUGAAACACGGUCCAGACUCCUACGGGAGGCAGCAGUGGGGAAUCUUGCGCAAUGGACGAAAGUCUGACGCAGCCACGCCGCGUGAGUGAAGAAGGCCUUCGGGUUGUAAAGCUCUGUCGGAUGGGACGAACAUCUUCAUAGUGAAUAGCUAUGAGGACUGACGGUACCAUCAAAGGAAGCACCGGCUAACUCCGUG